This 770-nucleotide ribosomal RNA is filed under the name bacterium. RNAcentral's name for it is "bacterial SSU rRNA". It matches the Rfam family "Bacterial small subunit ribosomal RNA", at positions 68 to 845 of the family's 1533-position model. The record is from RNAcentral.
GAUGAUCUCCAGCUUGCUGGGGGGAUUAGUGGCGAACGGGUGAGUAACACGUGAGUAACCUGCCCUUGACUCUGGGAUAAGCCUGGGAAACCGGGUCUAAUACUGGAUACGACCUUCUGGCGCAUGCCAUGUUGGUGGAAAGCUUUUGUGGUUUUGGAUGGACUCGCGGCCUAUCAGCUUGUUGGUGGGGUAAUGGCCUACCAAGGCGACGACGGGUAGCCGGCCUGAGAGGGUGACCGGCCACACUGGGACUGAGACACGGCCCAGACUCCUACGGGAGGCAGCAGUGGGGAAUAUUGCACAAUGGGCGCAAGCCUGAUGCAGCGACGCCGCGUGAGGGAUGAAGGCCUUCGGGUUGUAAACCUCUUUCAGUAGGGAAGAAGCCGCUCCUUUGGGGGUGGUGACGGUACCUGCAGAAGAAGCGCCGGCUAACUACGUGCCAGCAGCCGCGGUAAUACGUAGGGCGCAAGCGUUAUCCGGAAUUAUUGGGCGUAAAGAGCUCGUAGGCGGUUUGUCGCGUCUGCCGUGAAAGUCCGGGGCUUAACUCCGGAUCUGCGGUGGGUACGGGCAGACUAGAGUGCAGUAGGGGAGACUGGAAUUCCUGGUGUAGCGGUGAAAUGCGCAGAUAUCAGGAGGAACACCGAUGGCGAAGGCAGGUCUCUGGGCUGUAACUGACGCUGAGGAGCGAAAGCAUGGGGAGCGAACAGGAUUAGAUACCCUGGUAGUCCAUGCCGUAAACGUUGGGCACUAGGUGUGGGGGACAUUCCACG